UACGUAGGGUGCAAGCGUUAAUCGGAAUUACUGGGCGUAAAGCGUGCGCAGGCGGCUUUGCAAGACAGAUGUGAAAUCCCCGGGCUCAACCUGGGAACUGCAUCUGUGACUGCAUUGCUGGAGUGCGGCAGAGGGGGAUGGAAUUCCGCGUGUAGCAGUGAAAUGCGUAGAUAUGCGGAGGAACACCGAUGGCGAAGGCAAUCCCCUGGGCCUGCACUGACGCUCAUGCACGAAAGCGUGGGGAGCAAACAGG
Molecule: ribosomal RNA, 253 nt
Filed under: uncultured bacterium
Lineage: Bacteria
Description: partial 16S ribosomal RNA
Rfam family: Bacterial small subunit ribosomal RNA
Source: RNAcentral